Molecule: ribosomal RNA, 501 nt
Filed under: uncultured bacterium
Lineage: Bacteria
Description: bacterial SSU rRNA
Rfam family: Bacterial small subunit ribosomal RNA
Source: RNAcentral
AGUUUGAUCAUGGCUCAGAUUGAACGCUGGCGGCAUGCCUUACACAUGCAAGUCGAACGGCAGCACGGACUUCGGUCUGGUGGCGAGUGGCGAACGGGUGAGUAAUGUAUCGGAACGUACCUUUCAGUGGGGGAUAACGUAGCGAAAGUUACGCUAAUACCGCAUAUUCUGUGAGCAGGAAAGCAGGGGAUCGCAAGACCUUGCGCUGAUUGAGCGGCCGAUAUCAGAUUAGCUAGUUGGUGGGUAAAGGCCUACCAAGGCUACGAUCUGUAGCGGGUCUGAGAGGAUGAUCCGCCACACUGGAACUGAGACACGGUCCAGACUCCUACGGGAGGCAGCAGUGGGGAAUUUUGGACAAUGGGGGCAACCCUGAUCCAGCCAUGCCGCGUGAGUGAAGAAGGCCUUCGGGUUGUAAAGCUCUUUCGGCCGGGAAGAAAUCGCAUAGGCUAAUACCCUGUGUGGAUGACGGUACCGGAAUAAGAAGCACCGGCUAACUACGUG